AACUUGAGUUUGUGGUGUUUUUGAACUUGAAUUUGUUGUGUUUGAACUUGAGUUUGUGGUGUUUGUUGAAUUUGAGUUUGUGUCGUAUUACAACUUGAUUUUGUGGUGUUUUUGAACUUGAGUUUGUGGUUUUUGUUUGAACUUGAUUUUGUGUGUUUGUUAAACUUGAGUUUGUGUGUUUUUUUAACUUGAGUUGGUGGUGUUUUUGAACUUGAGUUUCGUGUUUGAACCAGAGUUUGUGGUUUUUGUUAAGUUUGAGUUUGUGUCAUGUUUUAACUUGAGUUUGUGGUCUUCUUGAAAUUGAGUUUGUGUUAUUUUUGAAGUUGAGGAUUUGGAAUUUGUUGUACUCAAGGUUGUGGAAAUUGUUAAACUUGAGUUUGUGUGUUAUUUGAACUCUAGUGUGUGUCGUAUUUGAAC
This is a non-coding RNA of Xyrichtys novacula (pearly razorfish), 417 nucleotides long. The record is from the annotation of a GenBank genome assembly. NCBI's taxonomy places the organism in Eukaryota, Metazoa, Chordata, Actinopteri, Labriformes, Labridae.